GUGGGGAAUAUUGGACAAUGGGCGCAAGCCUGAUCCAGCCAUGCCGCGUGAGUGAUGAAGGCCUUAGGGUUGUAAAGCUCUUUCAGUGGGGACGAUAAUGACGGUACCCACAGAAGAAGCCCCGGCUAACUUCGUGCCAGCAGCCGCGGUAAUACGAAGGGGGCUAGCGUUGUUCGGAUUUACUGGGCGUAAAGUGCACGUAGGCGGAUCGUUAAGUCGGGGGUGAAAUCCUGGAGCUCAACUCCAGAACUGCCUUCGAUACUGGCGAUCUUGAGUCCGGAAGAGGUGAGUGGAACUCCUAGUGUAGAGGUGGAAUUCGUAGAUAUUAGGAAGAACACCAGUGGCGAAGGCGGCUCACUGGUCCGGUACUGACGCUGAGGUGCGAAAGCGUGGGGAGCAAACAGGAUUAGAUACCCGGGUAGUCC
RNAcentral lists this ribosomal RNA (425 nucleotides) under uncultured bacterium. RNAcentral's name for it is "bacterial SSU rRNA". It matches the Rfam family "Bacterial small subunit ribosomal RNA", at positions 354 to 796 of the family's 1533-position model. The record is from RNAcentral.